UGAUUAUCACGAAGAUUUAUUUUUCGUUUAACGUUUGAAGACAUAAUUUUUUUCAAUGAUUAGAUCGUUAUUGGACAAUUUCGUUGGAAAAUAUUCUUUCGUUCAGAAUACGUUCCAAAAAGUCGAUAACACAUUUUUACGAGAGUCGUGAGUGUUUCGUCUAUUAAACGCAUAACCCUUUCACUAACAGUGCAUCUCUCUCUUUUUUUUUGUUUCCCUCUCUUACAUACUACGCCAUCUCUUGGCUGCGCUUUGGAGUCACGUACGCGCCAAAACUACCUUCGGUCUUCUUCGUCUUCGAAGAUGGCUUCGUGUUUCAGAUUCUCACUGGGAAUUUUGUAAUCCGACAAAAGUUCUCUCAUUCUGACCAUUGGAGUCUUUUCUCAUUCUCUGUGAAACUAUGACGCACAAUGCGAAUAUAUAUAUAUACAUAUAUAUAUAUGUAUAUAUAUAUAUAUAGUUAACAGUAAAUAUGUCCAAGCAUCACUUACUAUAAAAGUUGAUGAGAUUUUAUCAACAAUAUGGGACUUAUUAUUAAUAAGACAUAACGCUAUUCUUACUUCGUAUGAAGAUCCUACGUCGAUCCGCCAUGCCGAUGAGUCUUCUCUAGACACAAUUUAACGUUUCCUCACUCGCGAUGAGACACAUCGACAGACCCCCCUUCCGACGCGAAGGACCAGGGGCCUUAUCGAUGAAAAAUUCUUCGGAGCCCUCGCGCCUGCGCCAUUCGUGUUACGUAAUCUAACCAAGAAGACUAGAAGGAGAUCAAAGUUACUAUAGUAAUACAUGUGUCUGCUGAAAAAUUGAGAGAUAUAUGUAUAUAUGUAUAUAUAUAUAAACACACAAUACAAACGCGUAGAUAUAUAUAUAUGCGUGUGUAUUUCGGAUUCUCUUUCUCGCAUAAAUUUGUCUCUUUUGUCUGCGUACAAAGUAUUACGCGCAAAUGUCUAACUUAUAUGCCAAUAUAAUUUUAAACUUUAUGGAAUGUUAAAAAAAAAAAAGAAAAAAAGAAA
Vespa mandarinia (Asian giant hornet) is the source of this 1013-nucleotide long non-coding RNA. NCBI's taxonomy places the organism in Eukaryota, Metazoa, Arthropoda, Insecta, Hymenoptera, Vespidae. The record is from RefSeq and is a predicted model, not a curated record.